CCUACGGGAGGCAGCAGUGGGGAAUAUUGCACAAUGGGCGCAAGCCUGAUGCAGCCAUGCCGCGUGUAUGAAGAAGGCCUUCGGGUUGUAAAGUACUUUCAGCGGGGAGGAAGGGAGUGAGGUUAAUAACCUUAUUCAUUGACGUUACCCGCAGAAGAAGCACCGGCUAACUCCGUGCCAGCAGCCGCGGUAAU
RNAcentral lists this ribosomal RNA (194 nucleotides) under uncultured bacterium. RNAcentral's name for it is "partial 16S ribosomal RNA". It matches the Rfam family "Bacterial small subunit ribosomal RNA", at positions 338 to 524 of the family's 1533-position model. The record is from RNAcentral.